This 218-nucleotide ribosomal RNA is filed under the name Clostridioides difficile. RNAcentral's name for it is "partial 23S ribosomal RNA". It matches the Rfam family "Bacterial large subunit ribosomal RNA", at positions 2598 to 2815 of the family's 2925-position model. The record is from RNAcentral. Lineage: Bacteria; Bacillati; Bacillota; Clostridia; Peptostreptococcales; Peptostreptococcaceae.
ACGCGAGCUGGGUUCAGAACGUCGUGAGACAGUUCGGUCCCUAUCCGUCGCAGGCGUAGGAAAUUUGAGAAGACCUGUCCUUAGUACGAGCGGACCGGGAUGGACGUACCUCUGGUGUACCAGUUGUUCUGCCAAGGGCAUGGCUGGGUAGCUAUGUACGGAAUGGAUAAGCGCUGAAAGCAUCUAAGCGCGAAGCCAACUUCAAGAUAAGAUUUCCC